CAGGGUAUAGCUCAGUGGUAGAGCACGUGCUUAGCACUCAUAAGGUCCUGGGUUCAAUCCCCAGUACCUUCA
This 72-nucleotide transfer RNA is filed under the name Camelus bactrianus (Bactrian camel). It matches the Rfam family "tRNA". Rfam says of the family: Transfer RNA (tRNA) molecules are approximately 80 nucleotides in length. Their secondary structure includes four short double-helical elements and three loops (D, anti-codon, and T loops). RNAcentral also lists the same sequence under 2 other names. Lineage: Eukaryota; Metazoa; Chordata; Mammalia; Artiodactyla; Camelidae. The record is from Rfam by way of RNAcentral.